UAUAUAUAUAUAUAUAUAUAUAUAUAUAUAUAUAUAUAUAUAUAUACACACACACACACACACACACAGUAAACCCUCACUAUAUCGGAUUAAUUUGUGGAAUCCCUUGUUGAAAUAUUCGAAAAUCCGAAAAAUCCGGCUGCCCACCUCAUAUAGUGGUGAGCGUCCGAUGUAUCUAUGUGUUUAUAUAUAUAUAUAUAUAUAUAUAUAUAUAUAUAUAUAUAUAUAUAUAUAUAUAUAUAUAUAUAUAUAUAUAUAUAUAUAUAUAUAUAUAUAAAGAAAUUGGUUGCUAUAUGGAGCCUAUUAUACACAUACAAGUAUGUACUAUGCAUGACAAGGCACAAAUCACAAAUAAGGCAAGUGAGGGUCACAAAAAUUACUGUAGUUGUGAUCGGUAAGGCGGCACCAUGCAGACUGAGUCACCCCUGUGUGUGGGGGAUGCGUGGUGUUGGGUAUGUGGGUGCCCAGUCGGUGGGAAAAUGUACUGGACACUUGCCACUUAUAUUGCCGCCCAUCUAGACAAACUCAAUCCGAUGGCUAUAUAGCGUCUGAAAUAGCCGAUAUCCGACUUGUAAGUUUCCAAUAUAGUGAGGGUUUGAUAUAUAUAUGUAUAUAUAUAUAUAUAUAUAUAUAUAUAUAUAUAUAUAUAUAUAUAUAUAUAUAUAUAUAUAUAUAAAUAUAUAAUUCUAUAAAGAAUACAAAUUUCAGGUAAUAAAUCUAAACUCGCUAUUGCAUUCUAUUAACAACUAAUCCGACAAAAUAUAUAAAUGGAAUAAGGAAUAUGAAGAAAUCUGAGCAUUUGAUAAAGAGAAAGAAGUCUGAGAGCUUAUCACAUGUAAUUAAGCUUGGUAUCAUCAACUGUAUGCCUCAUUACUGUGAAAACCAAUCAAAGAUAUGCGGUAUGCUAGUGGUGUUUUUCACAAUGAGUGCAUAAAACAAAAGCAGAUUUCAAGAGAUUGACUGCUAAACAUUUAAUGGAAAAUUAUCCUCAAAAAAAUCCAAGCAGAUUUCUCUUAACUGAAUCUUUAUUACAAGUGCAUUGUUAAUUAUAAAUUUACAGGCAUUAGGACCAAUAUCAACUGGUGAUAAGAUUCACUUCAUAGUAUAUCUCAUGGUGGCUCUCAAGCUUAAUUAACUGCAUGUUGAAGUGCCAUGAAUAUUGGUACAGAUUUGAUUUUCCAAGGAAACCAAAUUCAACAGCAAUAACAGGAAUAAUUUCCUAAAAGUCCUCACCCUGCUGGGUGCGAUAUCUACGUCAGGGUGAGGUCACUGAAGGAGCUACUUGGUGCUGCUACAAUCUACACAAGGCAAAGAUAAAAUGCUGGGGCCAUAUGAAAAGGCUGCUGCACAACACCAAAGACAUGAACAAGACAUACACUUGGCAGGAGUUGAUCCCUGAAGUCUUAUUGAGUUGAGGUUGAGGUUCAAAUUGAGGAACGUAGGUCGAGCUGUAAAACCAAUCCAGGUUAGUUCACCCUUUGCAUCCUGACAUGCUGCUACCAUUGUAGAUAAACUGGACUCUACUGGUUAUUAUUUUAGUAAGUGUUAGAACCCAUGUCAAUCACUAGUUGCUGUAAGCACACCUAGUUACUGAUAGCUGUUUAACCUGAAGAGUUUUUUAUGUUUCUUUUAUUUGCUGACAUUUUCCAGUAUGAAAUUUUCUUGAGUGACAUGACAAAUAAAGGACUUUUAUUUUAUUUCAUAUUUCUGAUUAAAAAGUCAUGCACUUUUAUUAAUUUCUGAUGAAUUGCCAAGGGAGAUGGAGGCAUUGCUAUAACACUGGCACUCCCUGCAAUUUACCACCACUGCAAAGAUAUUUGAUUAUUACUUUGAACAUUUAAGCUUUGUAAGUAUACAUAGUGUGGAUUAAGAUUUCAACUUAUGAUCUUGUAAAUCUAAUAAAGAAUUACUUUAAUCAUUAUCUACAAAGCAGUCUUUACUAUUUUGAUUAUUAAGCUGAUGAAUUUCUACAAGCUAUCUAAAAGCUUCUUACCUAUUAAAUAUACCAAGAGAAGCUGCAGCAUAGAAUUGUUUCUAGACUUAGCACUUAUGAAUAUGUUCAGAAAAUGAACUACGUACUAAAUAUAAUUUUGAUCUGUAACUAUAAUUAACUUUCAAAGCUAGUUCAUGGGCAUAUAUAUAUAUAUAUUAAACAUUUUCUAUAUCAAUUACAUUAUACAAAAUUAAUGGACAGUGAAAGUAUGUAAUGUAUAUAUGACAGGGUGAAGGUUUUGUAGUCCAUCUGUCCAAUUUUAUUGCCUAUUAACAAGUACAAAAAGUAAGUUAUAACUUUAGCUGUAGCAUGGCAUAGCACUGAUUUUCCUUGAGGAGAAUUACUACUUAAUAUCAGUAAACUAAAUCAAUUUAACAAUGAACAUUGUGCAAAUAUAGCACUGGGUAAUUAUAUAACUUGGGGUUCAUCAAAAAAUAAUAAAAGUUAUUCUAGCAGUGUAAAAUUUCCAGUUCCUCCAUUUUUUCUCCUAAGGCUCAAGACCUAUCAAUGAAAUGAGAGACAUGGAAAAGGUAGUGUAUGCAAACAGGCAUGUUGGGCUGUCAAGGGAUGGCUGAUGGUUACUGAGCUGAGGAAGAAUUUACAUCUGCACAUGAAAAUUUACAACCACAAUUUUUCAUGUUUUCUAAAGCAGGAAGACCUGGAUUGAAUGAGAUGGAAGUAACCUUGCUAUACUUGGUACCAAGGUAAAAUGUUGGAGCUGCAACUUCUAGUAUAGAUAGUUAACAUUUACCAUUCCUCUCAGCUCUAUGUCAAAAGUUCCCACUUGCUCCUGUCCACAUACUUCAACCUUGCAUUGUCUAGUUCUCUCACUUUCUGUAUCAUCUUUAACAAGUACUCUGGCACCUAUAGCCAUAUGUUAGGAAAAAAUAAAACUUGCUCAACACUUAAAGUUAGCAAGUCAUUUAUCAUAAAUAUAUGUACGUGCGGACAAAUUCAGCACUUUGUUUCUAAGAACUUCAUCUGCCUGUCUUGAAUUUUUUAACUCUUUUACUUUAACAAAAGUUAUUGUCUCCAUGAUGUCCCCCCCACCACAAAAAAAAAAAAAAGAAAAGAAAAGAAAAGAAAGAUUUUACCGUUUCCAGAACACUGUAAUUAGACUAAAGUAAAUUUUAAUUAUGAUUAAGGAUAUUUCAACCAAUUUAUAUAUCAUCUUUUAUGUUUGAGGUAAAUCAUACAAUAUUUAAGUGAAAAGAAAAAAAAAAAUUAUCAGUACAUAAUGCUUUCCUUUAAACGAAACUAAUUUAAUUUAUGGGAUAGCUUAUGAUGUCUUAUGUUCUUUCUUGCUUUACCAUACUUAAUUCAUGUUAUGUUCUGCUUGUGUUUUUCAGUAUACUUUAUCUUCUACACCAUCUUAUUACAGCAACUGAGCCAAAUCAAACUUGGGUGAUCAAGUAUCUUGGUUGAUGCCAACAAUAAUUGAGCCUUUUCAGCCACUACAGCGAGUCACUGAGCUGGCAGCCAAUAUUUAGUUUAAAACUUCUACAUUGUCUGGGCUUUCCUCAAAAACCUUCUCUUAGUUUUAAGAGAACAAGAACUGCCUGACAAAUAAUAGUAAUCCAAGUUUUAAUGUGUAAGUAGUAGCUUUGAAGAAAGAGACUGCAUUUUCCAUGUUACAUAUUACUAAAUUAAGAUAGACCUCUACUUUAUAUUAUCAUUUGUUAAGAUUAGAUUACAUUUAUGAAAGAUUAGUUCUGCAGUUUCCCUAAUAUAUAUAAUACAUGAAAAUUAAGUUACUAUACAUACUUAUUUUUGUAUAUUGAUAUAUAAUGUAUUGAUUGUAUAUAGAGAUAAAUUUCCUCUUAAGAUUCAGUACUAUCAUCAAAAUAUCUUAUCUUCAACAACAAUUCUCAUCUUUGUUUGCCUUCUCAUAUUAUUAUUUAUCAUAUCCAUGAUUAAGUGAAGUUCCUGGCAACAUUUAAGCUGUAAAGCACAGAACUUACACUUAAGUUUUAUGAAAUGUUUUCUAAAUGCUGUAGGCCAGCCAUGUAUUAUAUAUAACUUUACUAUAACAAUAAAGACUGGGAUUGUC
Molecule: long non-coding RNA, 4043 nt
Filed under: Portunus trituberculatus (swimming crab)
Lineage: Eukaryota; Metazoa; Arthropoda; Malacostraca; Decapoda; Portunidae
Description: uncharacterized LOC123516066
Source: RNAcentral